Molecule: ribosomal RNA, 165 nt
Filed under: uncultured bacterium
Lineage: Bacteria
Description: partial 16S ribosomal RNA
Rfam family: Bacterial small subunit ribosomal RNA
Source: RNAcentral
UAGGGAAUCUUCCACAAUGGACGAAAGUCUGAUGGAGCAACGCCGCGUGUGUGAUGAAGGGUUUCGGCUCGUAAAAACACUGUUGUAAGAGAAGAAUGACAUUGAGAGUAACUGUUCAAUGUGUGACGGUAUCUUACCAGAAAGGAACGGCUAAAUACGUACCAG